UUGUGAGGUUAAGCGACUAAGCGUACACGGUGGAUGCCCUGGCAGUCAGAGGCGAUGAAGGACGUGCUAAUCUGCGAUAAGCGUCGGUGAGGUGAUAUGAACCGUUAUAACCGGCGAUUUCCGAAUGGGGAAACCCAGUGUGUUUCGACACACUAUCAUUAACUGAAUCCAUAGGUUAAUGAGGCGAACCGGGGGAACUGAAACAUCUAAGUACCCCGAGGAAAAGAAAUCAACCGAGAUUCCCCCAGUAGCGGCGAGCGAACGGGGAGGAGCCCAGAGCCUGAAUCAGUGUGUGUGUUAGUGGAAGCGUCUGGAAAGGCGCGCGAUACAGGGUGACAGCCCCGUACACAAAAAUGCACAUAUUGUGAGCUCGAUGAGUAGGGCGGGACACGUGGUAUCCUGUCUGAAUAUGGGGGGACCAUCCUCCAAGGCUAAAUACUCCUGACUGACCGAUAGUGAACCAGUACCGUGAGGGAAAGGCGAAAAGAACCCCGGCGAGGGGAGUGAAAAAGAACCUGAAACCGUGUACGUACAAGCAGUGGGAGCCUCUUAAUGGGGUGACUGCGUACCUUUUGUAUAAUGGGUCAGCGACUUAUAUUCUGUAGCAAGGUUAACCGAAUAGGGGAGCCGAAGGGAAACCGAGUCUUAACUGGGCGUUAAGUUGCAGGGUAUAGACCCGAAACCCGGUGAUCUAGCCAUGGGCAGGUUGAAGGUUGGGUAACACUAACUGGAGGACCGAACCGACUAAUGUUGAAAAAUUAGCGGAUGACUUGUGGCUGGGGGUGAAAGGCCAAUCAAACCGGGAGAUAGCUGGUUCUCCCCGAAAGCUAUUUAGGUAGCGCCUCGUGAAUUCAUCUCCGGGGGUAGAGCACUGUUUCGGCAAGGGGGUCAUCCCGACUUACCAACCCGAUGCAAACUGCGAAUACCGGAGAAUGUUAUCACGGGAGACACACGGCGGGUGCUAACGUCCGUCGUGAAGAGGGAAACAACCCAGACCGCCAGCUAAGGUCCCAAAGUCAUGGUUAAGUGGGAAACGAUGUGGGAAGGCCCAGACAGCCAGGAUGUUGGCUUAGAAGCAGCCAUCAUUUAAAGAAAGCGUAAUAGCUCACUGGUCGAGUCGGCCUGCGCGGAAGAUGUAACGGGGCUAAACCAUGCACCGAAGCUGCGGCAGCGACGCUUAUGCGUUGUUGGGUAGGGGAGCGUUCUGUAAGCCUGUGAAGGUGUGCUGUGAGGCAUGCUGGAGGUAUCAGAAGUGCGAAUGCUGACAUAAGUAACGAUAAAGCGGGUGAAAAGCCCGCUCGCCGGAAGACCAAGGGUUCCUGUCCAACGUUAAUCGGGGCAGGGU
Molecule: ribosomal RNA, 1345 nt
Filed under: Escherichia coli
Lineage: Bacteria; Pseudomonadati; Pseudomonadota; Gammaproteobacteria; Enterobacterales; Enterobacteriaceae
Description: partial 23S ribosomal RNA
Rfam family: Bacterial large subunit ribosomal RNA
Source: RNAcentral